AGUGAACGCUGGCGGUAGGCCUAACACAUGCAAGUCGAACGGCAGCACAGUAAGAGCUUGCUCUUACGGGUGGCGAGUGGCGGACGGGUGAGGAAUACAUCGGAAUCUCCUUUUUCGUGGGGGAUAACGUAGGGAAACUUACGCUAAUACCGCAUACUACCUACGGGUGAAAGCAGGGGAUCUUCGGACCUUGCGCGAUUGAAUGAGCCGAUGUCGGAUUAGCUAGUUGGCGGGGUAAAGGCCCACCAAGGCGACGAUCCGUAGCUGGUCUGAGAGGAUGAUCAGCCAAACUGGAACUGAGACACGGUCCAGACUCCUACGGGAGGCAGCAGUGGGGAAUAUUGGACAAUGGGCGCAAGACUGAUCCAGCCAUACCGCGUGGGUGAAGAAGGCCUUCGGGUUGUAAAGCCCUUUUGUUGGGAAAGAAAAGAAGAAGGUUAAUACCCCGCUGUUCUGACGGUACCCAAAGAAUAAGCACCGGCUAACUUCGUG
RNAcentral lists this ribosomal RNA (492 nucleotides) under uncultured bacterium. Its description in RNAcentral is "partial 16S ribosomal RNA". It matches the Rfam family "Bacterial small subunit ribosomal RNA", at positions 29 to 507 of the family's 1533-position model. The record is from RNAcentral.